Long non-coding RNA from Topomyia yanbarensis, 2186 nucleotides. RefSeq lists it as uncharacterized. The record is from RefSeq and is a predicted model, not a curated record. The transcript is spliced from 3 exons. Lineage: Eukaryota; Metazoa; Arthropoda; Insecta; Diptera; Culicidae.
CGACAUAAGAACAAAAACUGAUUCAAACGGGUACGCGUCACCUCUAUUUAUAAACUAACCGUAUAUGGUUUAGUCACUUAGGUGCGAGUGUGUGCAAAUGCCAACGUUACCGAAAAUCGAUAGCGCUUAUUGCAUCGCCCGGAGACGACGUUGCUCGUGUGGGAUAAGAGCAACAACUGAUUUAAACGGACAUGCGUUGCUUCUAUUUAUGACUUUUCGUGUUUCAUUGAGCAACUAAGCUGCCCUCUUUUGACGGCUGUGUCUGAGAAAUCUGCCUCACGAAUGGUAUUUUUCCCGUUUUUUGUGAACUUUUUAAUUUUACCAAUUUCCAAAAGUCUACUUUUAUUGGGGAGAUAUUAAAUUAUUACCAAUAUUUAAGUUAGGUGUUUCUGAAUCGGUUGGUGUAUGAAUGAUUAAAAUCCAUCUAGUAAUAUCGGAGUUAUAAGCGUGCAAACCUUACAUAGUUUCGUUACAUGGGAGAUAGUUUAGAUUUUAGAAUGACACCUAGCCCCAGAUAGUGGAGUAAGACAUUUUUAAUGUCAAAAUCAAAAAUUCUUCGAGCUGCCCAUUUUACUCUGUAUUCCCCUGUCCUAUUUUACCUCGAUUCUCCAUACUUUUUCACCAUUUGGAUGAACUUCGAGUGGGGAAUAUGAAAUAAAGUUACGGCGGGUAGCCUAUAACAUAGUUCCAGUAGCCUACCGCUAGCCGGCAUCUGUUUUAAUCUGGCUAUUCGCCGUUUCGUUUACUGGGUAUGAACUCCAAGAGUUCAUUCCAAUUUGUCAAAAACAUUGUUUUGACGUAGAUGAACCCCAAAACAGUGUUGCAGAAUAUACCGAUUUAUCGAUAUUUAAACCGAUUUUUAAUUUCAAUACCAAUAAUGUUACUAAAAAUACCGAUUUCUUUUUUCUUACCAAAAAAUCACGAUUUUCAUAUAAUAAGAUAUAAUAAGAUCAAUAUUAUUACGUAUGGGCCUUUUUAGAAAAUGUCUUCACCUUUCCACAUCAAAUCAUCCGGAAAUUGAUUCAGCAAUCUGCCAGGUUACCAAAUACAAAUAUGUUAAUACGGAAUGCUCUGAGGAUUUUUUGAGGACACAUUUUAUGACCCAGGUACACUGUCAGAGUGACAGCAUACUUUGAUGAAAUUGUGCUAAAACUGGCUGCACUGAUAGAUUUGUUUUUGAUUGUUUGACACUUCUAAAUAUUUUAGUUUUCUGCAGAAAAAAUCUCAGAAAACUAACGACUGAUUUUUGUUGACGUCGGGCACCAGUUACAGUUACAGUUUGAAAUUAUAUCUCUCCUCGGAUGAACGCGCCCGUUAUGUGUUACCCCGCAACAGCUGACUUAACUGAUUGUUCAAAUCCUCGAAUUUAUCCUGCUCGCUGUCGUUCAUGUUUUUAUUACUUUCCCCUAGUUCUACACAAUCAUUAGCCAUUGGAUCGGUUCGUGAUUUUAGGGAAUAGUAAACGUUAUGAAAAAAUCCAUUGUAUAAUAUAAUUAUAGUGUAUAGUUCAUGAAUCCGAAGUGGUUCAAAAGGAUGUCGCUGUACAGAUUCAGAGCGGCCGCUUCCAGCUCAGCAAAAGUGAAAGCCACUUGACGGUUAAAUUCGUAGUGUGUCCGCUGAUAGCGCUCGGGGACAGAAAAAUCUCAUAGGUCAUAGUCGCUUCCGACUUCGUUGCCGUCAACAUUAAACACAACAGCAAGAUACUUGGAAAGGACUCUCGUUCGAACAAACAUAAUGGAAGCGUAUUCUACACGCACAUAUUCACUCGGGCCAACCGUGUGACUCAUUUGGAAAAAGGACUCAUCGUCGGUUUCAUGGCAGCGAAGUGAGCAGACAAAAAAGGCAUCGUUUUUUUUCACAUGAUCGUUCUGAGCAAAAUUCAGCGAUUUGCCAGGCAUAAACCACCGAUGAGACAGUACCCGUUCGGAUUCAGGACGUUUUCCCAUACAUUGUACCCGGUCGAAGCGAUGGCAAGCGAUGCAGAUAACUGGGUCAAAAAGGCGGAGGUUCUGAGAAUUUCUGCACUCGUUAGCGAUCUGAGUAUGACCAAGGACAAGGAAUCAGAACCGGCGACUGACAGUCCAGAGAAAGAGAAUGCGGAAAAACCUUCUAGUCCAUAGCUCCUGAAGAAAAACGAGCUGAAGCGAAUAUGGAGAAACAGCUUCCUCCACGGAAAAUGCAGAGGC